GUCUGCGUGGAGCCGACCUUGAAAUACCACCCUUUAAUGUUUGAUGUUCUAACGUGGAUCCGUAAUCCGGGUUGCGGACAGUGUCUGGUGGGUAGUUUGACUGGGGCGGUCUCCUCCUAAAGAGUAACGGAGGAGCACGAAGGUUGGCUAAUCCUGGUCGGACAUCAGGAGGUUAGUGCAAUGGCAUAAGCCAGCUUGACUGCGAGCGUGACGGCGCGAGCAGGUGCGAAAGCAGGUCAUAGUGAUCCGGUGGUUCUGAAUGGAAGGGCCAUCGCUCAACGGAUAAAAGGUACUCCGGGGAUAACAGGCUGAUACCGCCCAAGAGUUCAUAUCGACGGCGGUGUUUGGCACCUCGAUGUCGGCUCAUCACAUCCUGGGGCUGAAGUAGGUUCCAAGGGUAUGGCUGUUCGCCAUUUAAAGUGGUACGCGAGCUGGGUUUAGAACGUCGUGAGACAGUUCGGUCCCUAUCUGCCGUGGGCGCUGGAGAACUGAGGGGGGCUGCUCCUAGUACGAGAGGACCGGAGUGGACGCAUCACUGGUGUUCGGGUUGUCAUGCCAAUGGCACUGCCCGGUAGCUAAAUGCGGAAGAGAUAAGUGCUGAAAGCAUCUAAGCACGAAACUUGCCCCGAGAUGAGUUCUCCCUGAGACUUAGAGUCUCCUGAAGGAACGUUGAAGACGACGACGUUGAUAGGCCGGGUGUGUAAGCGCAGCGAUGCGUUGAGCUAACCGGUACUAAUGAACCGUGAGGCUUAACCUU
Molecule: ribosomal RNA, 757 nt
Filed under: Salmonella enterica
Lineage: Bacteria; Pseudomonadati; Pseudomonadota; Gammaproteobacteria; Enterobacterales; Enterobacteriaceae
Description: partial 23S ribosomal RNA
Rfam family: Bacterial large subunit ribosomal RNA
Source: RNAcentral